RNAcentral lists this ribosomal RNA (465 nucleotides) under Vreelandella stevensii. RNAcentral's name for it is "partial 16S ribosomal RNA". It matches the Rfam family "Bacterial small subunit ribosomal RNA", at positions 338 to 795 of the family's 1533-position model. The record is from RNAcentral. Lineage: Bacteria; Pseudomonadati; Pseudomonadota; Gammaproteobacteria; Oceanospirillales; Halomonadaceae.
CCUACGGGUGGCUGCAGUGGGGAAUAUUGGACAAUGGGCGAAAGCCUGAUCCAGCCAUGCCGCGUGUGUGAAGAAGGCCUUCGGGUUGUAAAGCACUUUCAGUGGGGAAGAAAGCCUUGGGGCUAAUACCCUCGAGGAAGGACAUCACCCACAGAAGAAGCACCGACUAACUCCGUGCCAGCAGCCGCGGUAAUACGGAGGGUGCGAGCGUUAAUCGGAAUUACUGGGCGUAAAGCGCGCGUAGGCGGUCUGAUAAGCCGGUUGUGAAAGCCCCGGGCUCAACCUGGGAACGGCAUCCGGAACUGUCAGGCUAGAGUGCAGGAGAGGAAGGUAGAAUUCCCGGUGUAGCGGUGAAAUGCGUAGAGAUCGGGAGGAAUACCAGUGGCGAAGGCGGCCUUCUGGACUGACACUGACGCUGAGGUGCGAAAGCGUGGGUAGCAAACAGGAUUAGAUACCCCGGUAGUC